Molecule: long non-coding RNA, 104 nt
Organism: Myotis davidii
Lineage: Eukaryota; Metazoa; Chordata; Mammalia; Chiroptera; Vespertilionidae
Exons: 3
Source: RefSeq, a predicted model, not a curated record
AAAAAGGACUUGGCAGCCCAGCCGGGUGUAGCUCAGCCGUUGAGAGUCGAUCCAGGAACCAGGGGGUCGCCGGUUCGAUUCCUGGUCAGGGGAUACACCCAGGU